This 1283-nucleotide long non-coding RNA is filed under the name Medicago truncatula (barrel medic). RNAcentral describes it as "long non-coding RNA (MTRU_LNC000525)". Lineage: Eukaryota; Viridiplantae; Streptophyta; Magnoliopsida; Fabales; Fabaceae. The record is from RNAcentral.
CAUCAUCAUCCACAAAUACUCCAACAGGCUCUGCUCCAUAAUCUCUUGCAACUUUUGAUAUCUCCUUUGCAACAGAAAGUGAAACAGAACGUUUUGAGUUUGGCCACACAAUCAUUCCAAUAAAGUUUGCUCCAGCUUCGGCCGCCAUAGCAGCAUCUUUAGCUGAUGUAAUGCCACACAUCUUAACCAAAGGCUUAAUCUUUUCAGGUUCCUUUGAUGAACAUGAAACGUUUGCCAACUCAGUAAGUUUGCAGGAAACUUCAUACUUUGGACCGAAUCUUAUGCUAGAAAAUUGAAGCUUAUUUCCUCUCAAACCUACAGAAAUUAUAUUUAAAUGUUUCAGAUAGAACCUGGUACUUCGAAAUUUGAUGCUUAUUUCCUCUCAUCCCUUCAUUAGGCUUUCAUUUAAAUAGUGGCUCAUUUACGAUUUAUGACGUAGAUCCAUGAAUAUGAUGCUUUCAAACAAUACAAGCAAAAACAAGAAACUAAACCUACAUGAGGAAUAAGUGCUACUUAGAUUUCCGGAAAAUUGAGACAUAUACUCAGUAAAUAAAGACUAGACUACCUGGAAUCGGUCUUUUGUGGAAGUUUGUGGCUCUAAGUUCCAAGUAACUCCCAGUUGUUAAACCUGUACAAAAAGAAAACAUAACUUGCAAGGUCACAAGAACAAUAAUGUACAUGGAAAAUUGAAGCACANUCUUAAUAUUGUUUCUGCAUCAUCAUCCACAAAUACUCCAACAGGCUCUGCUCCAUAAUCUCUUGCAACUUUUGAUAUCUCCUUUGCAACAGAAAGUGAAACAGAACGUUUUGAGUUUGGCCACACAAUCAUUCCAAUAAAGUUUGCUCCAGCUUCGGCCGCCAUAGCAGCAUCUUUAGCUGAUGUAAUGCCACACAUCUUAACCAAAGGCUUAAUCUUUUCAGGUUCCUUUGAUGAACAUGAAACGUUUGCCAACUCAGUAAGUUUGCAGGAAACUUCAUACUUUGGACCGAAUCUUAUGCUAGAAAAUUGAAGCUUAUUUCCUCUCAAACCUACAGAAAUUAUAUUUAAAUGUUUCAGAUAGAACCUGGUACUUCGAAAUUUGAUGCUUAUUUCCUCUCAUCCCUUCAUUAGGCUUUCAUUUAAAUAGUGGCUCAUUUACGAUUUAUGACGUAGAUCCAUGAAUAUGAUGCUUUCAAACAAUACAAGCAAAAACAAGAAACUAAACCUACAUGAGGAAUAAGUGCUACUUAGAUUUCCGGAAAAUUGAGACAUAUACUCAGUAAAUAAAGACUAGACUACCUGG